Molecule: long non-coding RNA, 950 nt
Filed under: Mytilus galloprovincialis (Mediterranean mussel)
Lineage: Eukaryota; Metazoa; Mollusca; Bivalvia; Mytilida; Mytilidae
Source: RNAcentral
GUCGUCUUUGGUUGGUUUUUGUCAUACUUUGGUUUACGUGGUCCAUGUAAGGACUAAACAUAGAAUGGUUGAAUGCCGUAAGGUGACAUAUAUUUGCUUUCCGCCAUGUUAUUUGAUUUAAAAUAAGUAGUUGUAUUAUUGGUUUUUAUACACUAUCUCCGUUUGUUGUAUAAUUACCCUGCAAAAUUCCUCGUGUGGCUGCUUGAAGCCAGGAUUUAAAAGUUCAGACUGUUGAUGUUGCCUUUUUAUAGUUUUAUUGUGUCACAUGUGGAGCAGGAUCUGAUUACCCUUCCGGAGCAUCCCCGAGAUCUCCCCCAGUUUUUGGCAAGUCUUCGUGUUGUUUAGUCUUAGUUUUCUUUGUUUUGUUUUCUGUACGAUUAUUUGUCUGUUUUUUUUUUUUUUUUAUUUUUAGCCAUGGCGUUUUCAGUUUGGUUUCAAUCUAUGAGUUUGGCUAUCCAUCUGGUAUCUUUCGUAUCUCUUUCUUAUUGAAAUCCGGUACCUCUUUUAACUUAUUAUACAGUAUGGUUUUUAUAUAUUUUUUUUCAGAUUGGUGAUAUGGUGAACUGUAGUUGUUUACAAGAACAAAUUAAUAAUACAAACAAAAGAUAUGUACAAUAAUAGAAUAUAAAUUAAUUUAAAUUGCCACUGGAAAAUGAGAGUAAUAGGGAUGAGUACAGUAAAUUAUCUAAGGCUUGCAGUUAACAUGAAAAACAUCUCGAACCGUUGUUGCAAAUGGGCUUAACAUUUAGAGGUCGUAGCCCUGUCUCUCUAUAAGAAACAUCGGAUUUAUUGUCGACAUUCUGAGAGCUAGGCUAUAUACUGUACAACAAAGGAUUUUACAUCCGGUUGGAAGAAGACCAAGAGUGCCUCGGUUUCUUUCAAAUCCCCAGUCACCCUUAUCGAUAUGUUAAAAAAAAUAACAAUGAUAAACUUUAUUGAUAGUCUAAAAC